GUGUCAGCAGCCGCGGUAAGACAGAGGGUGCAAACGUUGUUCGGAAUUACUGGGCGUAAAGCGUGUGUAGGUGGCUGCGUAAGUCGGAUGUGAAAGCCCUGGGCUCAACUCAGGAAGUGCACUCGAUACUGCGUAGCUUGAGUACCGGAGAGGUUGGUGGAAUUCUCGGUGUAGAGGUGAAAUUCGUAGAUAUCGAGAGGAACACCUGUGGCGAAGGCGGCCAACUGGACGAGUACUGACACUGAGACACGAAAGCGUGGGGAGCAAACAGGAUUAGAAACCCUCGUAGUCC
RNAcentral lists this ribosomal RNA (292 nucleotides) under uncultured bacterium. RNAcentral's name for it is "partial 16S ribosomal RNA". It matches the Rfam family "Bacterial small subunit ribosomal RNA", at positions 505 to 796 of the family's 1533-position model. The record is from RNAcentral.